This 250-nucleotide ribosomal RNA is filed under the name uncultured bacterium. RNAcentral's name for it is "partial 16S ribosomal RNA". It matches the Rfam family "Bacterial small subunit ribosomal RNA", at positions 525 to 775 of the family's 1533-position model. The record is from RNAcentral.
ACGUAGGUCCCGAGCGUUAUCCGGAUUUAUUGGGCGUAAAGCGAGCGCAGGCGGUUAGAUAAGUCUGAAGUUAAAGGCUGUGGCUUAACCAUAGUACGCUUUGGAAACUGUUUAACUUGAGUGCAAGAGGGGAGAGUGGAAUUCCAUGUGUAGCGGUGAAAUGCGUAGAUAUAUGGAGGAACACCGGUGGCGAAAGCGGCUCUCUGGCUUGUAACUGACGCUGAGGCUCGAAAGCGUGGGGAGCAAACAG